AUGUUUUUGUAAGUACUGUAAGCGAUAUCGUUCGUGUAUGUGUUGGCGUAGACGGAUACUUCAUAAUUAUAAGCUUUUAACUUGUUAACGUGUGUACUAAUCAAUUUUCGAAAGCUAGGUGCGAAGCAAUUUACAAUGCAAUGAUGUCGGUUUGUUUGUGGGCUAUAAACCAAGUCAGAGGCACAGGGGCAGAGCCGGCAUCACACUGUAAUUAAUGGACGGCAAGACAGGGGUGAAAUUGGAUCAAUUUGACCCCCCCUUCCCAAUUUUAAAAGGACCUAUUGGUAAACAAAACUAAUUAACGCCGAUCGUUGAUUGGGUAAAUGAUUUUUUGGAUUAAAUUCAAAUUUGUUAUGUAA
Long non-coding RNA from Pieris brassicae (large cabbage white), 359 nucleotides. RefSeq lists it as uncharacterized. The transcript has 2 exons. The record is from RefSeq and is a predicted model, not a curated record. Lineage: Eukaryota; Metazoa; Arthropoda; Insecta; Lepidoptera; Pieridae.